Molecule: small nucleolar RNA, 129 nt
Organism: Peromyscus eremicus (cactus mouse)
Lineage: Eukaryota; Metazoa; Chordata; Mammalia; Rodentia; Cricetidae
Product: small nucleolar RNA SNORA40
Exons: 1
Source: RefSeq, a predicted model, not a curated record
UGGUUUCAAUUUUUGUAUUUUGUUUAGCUGUGGACAAGGACUUACAUCUGGAGGCAACAAAUGAAUCCUUCUUUUGCAACCCAGAACUCACUGUUCAGUAUGAAUUUUGUAUAUUUAGGAAGGAACAUA